GAUGAAGAACGUAGCAAAAUGCGAUACUUGGUGUGAAUUGCAGAAUCCCGUGAACCAUCGAGUUUUUGAACGCAAGUUGCGCCCGAAGCCUAUUGGCCGAGGGCACGUCUGCCUGGGCGUCACGCAUCGCGUCGCCCCCCACAAUUCUCCGUAAAGGGAACAUGUGUUUUGGGGGCGGAUAUUGGUCUCCCGUGCUCAUGGCGUGGUUGGCCGAAAUAGGAGUCCUUUCGAUGGACGCACGAACUAGUGGUGGUCGUAAAAACCCUCGUCUUUUGUUUCGUGCUGUUGCUCGCAAGGUAAACUCUUUAAAAACCCCAAUGUGUCGUCUCUUGACGACGCUUCGACCGCGACCCCAGGUCAGGCGGGACUACCCGCUGAGUUUAAGCAUAUCAAUAAGCGGAGGA
RNAcentral lists this unclassified non-coding RNA (404 nucleotides) under soil metagenome. Its description in RNAcentral is "partial contains 5.8S ribosomal RNA, internal transcribed spacer 2, and large subunit ribosomal RNA". The stretch from base 1 to 122 matches the Rfam family "5.8S ribosomal RNA", at positions 35 to 154 of the family's 154-position model. The record is from RNAcentral.